This 108-nucleotide small nuclear RNA is filed under the name Chinchilla lanigera (long-tailed chinchilla). Lineage: Eukaryota; Metazoa; Chordata; Mammalia; Rodentia; Chinchillidae. The record is from RNAcentral.
AUGCUUGUUUCAGCAGUACAUAUACUGAAAUUGGAAUGGUACAGAGAAGAUUAUCAUGGCCACUGUGCAAGGAUGACACAUUGUUCUUCAGCCUUGCUUCUAAUAUGG